Molecule: ribosomal RNA, 492 nt
Filed under: uncultured bacterium
Lineage: Bacteria
Description: partial 16S ribosomal RNA
Rfam family: Bacterial small subunit ribosomal RNA
Source: RNAcentral
AGUGAACGCUGGCGGUAGGCCUAACACAUGCAAGUCGAACGGCAGCACAGUAAGAGCUUGCUCUUACGGGUGGCGAGUGGCGGACGGGUGAGGAAUACAUCGGAAUCUACUUUUUCGUGGGGGAUAACGUAGGGAAACUUACGCUAAUACCGCAUACGACCUACGGGUGAAAGCAGGGGAUCUUCGGACCUUGCGCGAUUGAAUGAGCCGAUAUCGGAUUAGCUAGUUGGCGGGGUAAAGGCCCACCAAGGCGACGAUCCGUAGCUGGUCUGAGAGGAUGAUCAGCCACACUGGAACUGAGACACGGUCCAGACUCCUACGGGAGGCAGCAGUGGGGAAUAUUGGACAAUGGGCGCAAGCCUGAUCCAGCCAUACCGCGUGGGUGAAGAAGGCCUUCGGGUUGUAAAGCCCUUUUGCUGGGAAAGAAAAGCAGCAGGUUAAUACCCCGCUGUUCUGACGGUACCCAAAGAAUAAGCACCGGCUAACUUCGUG